RNAcentral lists this ribosomal RNA (420 nucleotides) under Fusobacteriota bacterium. Its description in RNAcentral is "Fusobacteria bacterium partial 16S ribosomal RNA". It matches the Rfam family "Bacterial small subunit ribosomal RNA", at positions 355 to 776 of the family's 1533-position model. Lineage: Bacteria; Fusobacteriati; Fusobacteriota. The record is from RNAcentral.
UGGGGGAUAUUGCACAAUGGGCGAAAGCCUGAUGCAGCGACGCCGCGUGGGGGAUGAAGGCCUUCGGGUUGUAAACUUCUUUUGCUCUGAACAAGGCAUGCCUUUGGGGUGUGUUGAGUGUAGGGGUUGAUUAGCGCCGGCUAACUACGUGCCAGCAGCCGCGGUAAUACGUAGGGCGCGAGCGUUGUCCGGAAUUAUUGGGCGUAAAGGGCUUGUAGGUGGCUGGUUGCGUCUGUCGUGAAAGCUCAUGGCUUAACGGUGGGUUGGCGGUGGGUACGGGCUGGCUUGAGUGCAGUAGGGGAGGAUGGAAUUCCUGGUGUAGCGGUGGAAUGCGCAGAUAUCAGGAGGAAUACCGGUGGCGAAGGCGGGUCUCUGGGCUGUUACUGACGCUGAGGAGCGAAAGCGUGGGGAGCGAACAGG